Molecule: long non-coding RNA, 655 nt
Organism: Quercus lobata
Lineage: Eukaryota; Viridiplantae; Streptophyta; Magnoliopsida; Fagales; Fagaceae
Exons: 3
Source: RefSeq, a predicted model, not a curated record
AAUGGAUUAUGGAACAAUAGGAGAAGAAUUACUACAUCAGUGCAAUAGCAGGGGCUAACAAUGGAAGUUAACUAGUUGUAAUGUCUAAGGGUUAGUCCAAAUGUCUUUAAGAAGGAAUGAUUUUCUGAUGGAAUAACAUCUAGCAGUAUACCACCCAUUGAGGACAAUGAUUAUAACACUUGUGUUACAAAAAAUGAUGUGGUAGAAAAAACAUCUGAUGAGGUGGAGGCAGGCUGGAAUAUGUUCCCUGUCACACCACAGCCACUAGGUUGCAACACGUUAUCCCCAUUACACUCGCAAAUGCAAGCAGAUCACUGCUUUCGUUACAAGUCUAGCAGUCAAAAUAAUCUUUCUUUUGACGAUGAAACCCAGGAAAACAUGGUCUCUGCACAGUUUGAUCAAGAGUAUCAAGAUUUGUUGUGGCUUGAAGAUAUCAUCAAUCCAAAGGAUUCACCAGGGUUGUUAAAAUCAGGAUCACAUCUAGAUCUGAGGGAGGGUCUUUGGAUCAAGCCUAUUUUUGGAUGCUUUCUUUAAUUUGUUUAAUUUUUUGUUUACCACUAUGUUAAGUGAUGAUUGUAGAAAGAUGUCCUAUGUAAUUAUUUUUUUCAAUAUCAGAUUUGUUAUAAAGUGGGAAGCAGCAUUGAAUUACAAAGGU